UGGGGAAUAUUGCACAAUGGGCGCAAGCCUGAUGCAGCCAUGCCGCGUGUAUGAAGAAGGCCUUCGGGUUGUAAAGUACUUUCAGUCGGGAGGAAGGUGGUAAGGUUAAUAACCUUAUCAAUUGACGUUACCGACAGAAGAAGCACCGGCUAACUCCGUGCCAGCAGCCGCGGUAAUACGGAGGGUGCAAGCGUUAGUCGGAAUUACUGGGCGUAAAGCGCACGCAGGCGGUUGAUUGAGUCAGAUGUGAAAUCCCCGGGCUUAACCCGGGAAUUGCAUCUGAGACUUGGCAGCUUGAGUCUUGUAGAGGGGGGUAGAAUUCCAUGUGUAGCGGGGAAAUGCGUAGGGAUGUGGAGGAAUACCGGUGGCGGAGGCGGCCCCCUGGACAAAGACUGACGCUCAGGUGCGAAAGCGUGGGGAGCAAACAGG
This 429-nucleotide ribosomal RNA is filed under the name Chloroflexota bacterium. RNAcentral describes it as "Chloroflexi bacterium partial 16S ribosomal RNA". It matches the Rfam family "Bacterial small subunit ribosomal RNA", at positions 355 to 776 of the family's 1533-position model. The record is from RNAcentral. Lineage: Bacteria; Bacillati; Chloroflexota.